GAUCAUUAAUGAAGCAGCUCACACCUGCUCGAGUCCCUCUCGUCCAACAAACACCCAAAAGAGGGACUCGUCACACCCCAUGUCUACCGAUCUUUGUUGCUUUGGCGGGCCGCGUCAAGCUACCGGCCGCGGCUGGUACGUGCCCGCCAGAGGCCCCUAACCCGUGAACUUCGGCCGUCUGAGCACUUAUAGAAUAGUUAAAACUUUCAACAACGGAUCUCUUGGUUCUGGCAUCGAUGAAGAACGCAGCGAAAUGCGAUAAGUAAUGUGAAUUGCAGAAUUUAGUGAAUCAUCGAAUCUUUGAACGCACAUUGCGCCCGGUGGUAUCCCGCCGGGCAUGCCUGUUCGAGCGUCAUAAUGACCAAAUCACGCCUCCUCGGCGUGGUCUUGGGGCUGGCCGCCGGCCUCCCCUAAAAGCAGUCGGCAGCGCCGCGAGGCUCCAAGCGUAGUAACACUCCCGCUAUGGACGUCCCGCGGCCGCAUGCCAGCGACCCCCAACUCGUCUAGGGUUGACCUCGGAUCAGGUAGGGAUACCCGCUGAACUUAAGCAUAUCAAUAAGCGGAGGAAAAGAAACCAACAGGGAUUGCCUCAGUAACGGCGAGUGAAGCGGCAACAGCUCAAAUUUGAAAGCUGGCUCGUUUCGGGCCCGCGUUGUAAUUUGUAGAAGAUGCUUCGGGUCGCGGCCCAGUCUAAGUUCCUUGGAACAGGACGUCAUGGAGGGUGAGAAUCCCGUAUGUGACUGGUCCCGUGGCCCGUGUGAAGCUCUUUCGACGAGUCGAGUUGUUUGGGAAUGCAGCUCUAAAUGGGUGGUAUAUUUCAUCUAAAGCUAAAUAUUGGCCAGAGACCGAUAGCGCACAAGUAGAGUGAUCGAAAGAUGAAAAGCACUUUGGAAAGAGAGUUAAAUAGUACGUGAAAUUGUUGAAAGGGAAGCGCUUGCAACCAGACUUGCGGGCCGCCGAUCAUCCCGGGUUCUCCCGGGUGCACUCGGCGGCUCUCGGGCCAGCAUCGGUUCCGGGGGUGGGACAAAGGCCUUGGGAAUGUGGCUCCUCUCGGGGAGUGUUAUAGCCCUCGGUGCAAUGCCGCCACCUGGGACCGAGGACCGCGCU
Molecule: ribosomal RNA, 1107 nt
Filed under: fungal sp. ARIZ AZ0957
Lineage: Eukaryota; Fungi
Description: eukaryotic LSU rRNA
Rfam family: Eukaryotic large subunit ribosomal RNA (bases 511-1107)
Source: RNAcentral